GAUGAGAACGUAGUGAACUGCGAUAAGUAAUGUGAAUUGCAGAAUUCAGUGAAUCAUCGAGUCUUUGAACGCACAUUGCGCCCCCUGGCAUUCCGGGGGGCAUGCCUGUCCGAGCGUCAUUGCUGCCCUUCAAGCCCGGCUUGUGUGUUGGGUCGUCGUCCCCCCCGGGGGACGGGCCCGAAAGGCAGCGGCGGCACCGCGUCCGGUCCUCGAGCGUAUGGGGCUUUGUCACCCGCUCGAUUAGGGCCGGCCGGGCGCCAGCCGGCGUCUCCAACCUUCUAUUUUACCAGGUUGACCUCGGAUCAGGUAGGGAUACCCGCUGAACUUAAGCAUAUCAAUAAGCGGAGGA
This 349-nucleotide unclassified non-coding RNA is filed under the name soil metagenome. RNAcentral describes it as "partial contains 5.8S ribosomal RNA, internal transcribed spacer 2, and large subunit ribosomal RNA". The stretch from base 5 to 119 matches the Rfam family "5.8S ribosomal RNA", at positions 40 to 154 of the family's 154-position model. The record is from RNAcentral.